AGUCUUAUAGUUUAUGAAGAACAUGAAAUUGCAAGUUUCAAGGAAAAUUUAAUAUUUAAGACUU
Molecule: transfer RNA, 64 nt
Filed under: Rhinostomus barbirostris (bearded weevil)
Lineage: Eukaryota; Metazoa; Arthropoda; Insecta; Coleoptera; Curculionidae
Description: tRNA-Cys
Source: RNAcentral